GUGUCAGCAGCCGCGGUAAUACGGAGGGGGUUAGCGUUGUUCGGAAUUACUGGGCGUAAAGCGCGCGUAGGCGGAUUGGAAAGUUGGGGGUGAAAUCCCGGGGCUCAACCCCGGAACUGCCUCCAAAACUUCCAGUCUGGAGUUCGAGAGAGGUGAGUGGAAUUCCGAGUGUAGAGGUGAAAUUCGUAGAUAUUCGGAAGAACACCAGUGGCGAAGGCGGCUCACUGGCGCAUUUCUGACGCUGAGGCGCGAAAGCGUGGGGAGCAAACAGGAUUAGAUACCCUGGUAGUCCACGCCGUAACGAUGAGGGCUAGUUGUCGGGCGGCUUGCCGUUCGGUGACGCAGCUAACGCAUUAAGCCCUCCGCCUGGGGAGUACGGUCGCAAGAUUAAAACUCAAAUGAAUUGACGGGG
This 412-nucleotide ribosomal RNA is filed under the name uncultured prokaryote. Its description in RNAcentral is "bacterial SSU rRNA". It matches the Rfam family "Bacterial small subunit ribosomal RNA", at positions 505 to 918 of the family's 1533-position model. The record is from RNAcentral.